GGAGGAUUAGCUCAGCUGGGAGAGCAUCUGCCUUACAAGCAGAGGGUCGGCGGUUCGAGCCCGUCAUCCUCNA
RNAcentral lists this transfer RNA (73 nucleotides) under Turicibacter sanguinis. Its description in RNAcentral is "tRNA-Val". It matches the Rfam family "tRNA". Rfam says of the family: Transfer RNA (tRNA) molecules are approximately 80 nucleotides in length. The record is from RNAcentral. Lineage: Bacteria; Bacillati; Bacillota; Erysipelotrichia; Erysipelotrichales; Turicibacteraceae.